UACCUUCGUGCCCUAGAGCAAGAUUAUAACUUCCAAAGAGGACUUUAACUUCCCAAGAGUGUAUCAAAUUAGGUACAACUGACAAUGAUAAAAUCUUAUAAGUCCAACUGCUACUAAAAAUCGUUGACCGCUAAUUGAUUUCUUUUCCUUUCAGUUUUAUUAAAGAAUAAAGCUCUUAAGAUAAAAAGCGUUUAAAACUUUAGUAAUUAUCCAUCAUGCAUUGCGCAAUUCUUUGAUAGUUUUUCUCAAUGUGAUUUUAUCAGACAAAUCUUUGAUAACGAUCUACCUGUCG
This 292-nucleotide long non-coding RNA is filed under the name Mytilus galloprovincialis (Mediterranean mussel). The record is from RNAcentral. Lineage: Eukaryota; Metazoa; Mollusca; Bivalvia; Mytilida; Mytilidae.